AGAUUCCCAGGUCAUCUCAUAGACAGGGCUGCACUGGGCCUCCUGCCUAGGCCUGUUCGAUGAAGCACCAACAAGCCCCACAGCUUUGUUGCUUUUGCUAUGCCCACUGGGACCAGUGAGAGAAGUGUGGUCUUAUCCCUGGGAGGAGAGAAAGAGCCAGCAUCUGCAGGCGCCCACAGGAUGUCAAGGUCACAUGGAAUGAUGCUGAUCGAUAUAGACGUGAUCUCAGAGUUCACUCGCUCAUCAUAUAGUGGAGGAAACGAGGCCCAGGGAGGGGCGGAACAUUUUUCCAAGUCAUACAGCAAGAACUCAGAGGCCUCUUGGUUCCUGCUCUUGCCUUGAGGUGGUUCUGCGGGGCGCUCCAGAGCCCCCAAGAAAUUCUUCUGAAAUUCAGUUCUCCACAGGACACCUGGGCUCCUCCUCUGUCCUCCCAGCCCCUCACAGAGGAGUACUUUCCCUUCUGGCCUGCCUAAGUCUGUCUUUUCUUCUGGACUUCAGUGGCCACCAUGGACCUCCCAAGCUUUCUCUUGGGCUCUUCCUGUGCCGACCUCAGCUUGGCUGCCUCACACCCUAUCUGGUGGGCACUUACAGGAGCCGUGUCCAUGGAACACCACGCCUGGGCUGUGGAGGCCCCGUUCUGAGACCACGUGUAGUCCCAAAAAGGAAGCUAAAAGGGGUCAGAGGAGAACAUCCCUGUGUAGGGUGAGGGUGAAUCUCAGUCUCCCUGUCAACUCUCUUUAUCCUGACAUCCAGAAUUCCAGACCUUUGUGGGCACUGAUCCCUGAGACUGGGCUCUUUAAGCUCUUUCACUGAUCCCUGGGGUCCGAAACUUUCAGCUUGCACUUUGGUUUGGUAAACCACUGACUGUCCUACCAAACGCCCCCGCACCCCACAAACUCAACCUGUGCUCUUCAUGUGCUAUCUCCUGUUCGAUCCCCACACUGACCUUCUGGGUUAGGGACUUGCAUGUCCCCAUUUUAUAGAUGAGGAGCCUGAGGCCCAGAGAGGUAAGUCACCUGCCCAGUAACACACAGCCUGAGAUUGGCAGAGCCAGAUCUCAUGGAAUGAGAGCCCUGUCUCACCUCCCUAGAGACGGAGCUUAACUGAUAACUUCGAGUUGAUACUGAAAGGUCACAGGAAUUGCAGCAGAUAAGGUGUUCUGAGGAACUGGCUCUCUAGCCCCUGUGGUAAUUAAUUCAGUAUCCCUUUUUGUGUCCCAGAGAAGCACAGUGGCUAAAGCGCACAGCACAAGCUUGGAGAUCAGAUGGACAUGGCUUCAAAUCUCGUCUCUGCUGUUUACAAAAAGUAUGACCCCAGGAGAGGGAUUUAUACCCUCUGAGCUGUAGUUUCCUCAUCCACAAUGUGGGAGUAGGAUUUUAGAGGAUACCGAGAGAUUAAAUGAGAUCUUUCUUAUAGAGUGCUUAGCAAGGGGCUUGGCACCAUGGAUGGUAAUAUCAUCAUGAUGAUGCCAGUUAUUUUCAUUGCUAUUCCUUAUUAUUCAUCAGUAUUUUUAUUCAUUGCUAUUGCUGGUUGUAUUCAUCAUUAAUAAAUAAUAGCAUUGUUUCUU
RNAcentral lists this long non-coding RNA (1567 nucleotides) under Pan troglodytes (chimpanzee). Its description in RNAcentral is "lincRNA". The record is from RNAcentral. Lineage: Eukaryota; Metazoa; Chordata; Mammalia; Primates; Hominidae.